This 400-nucleotide ribosomal RNA is filed under the name uncultured bacterium. RNAcentral's name for it is "bacterial SSU rRNA". It matches the Rfam family "Bacterial small subunit ribosomal RNA", at positions 356 to 773 of the family's 1533-position model. The record is from RNAcentral.
GGGGAAUAUUGGACAAUGGGCGCAAGCCUGAUCCAGCCAUGCCGCGUGGAUGAUGAAGGCCUUAGGGUUGUAAAGUCCUUUUAACGGGGAAGAUAAUGACGGUACCCGUAGAAUAAGCCCCGGCUAACUUCGUGCCAGCAGCCGCGGUAAUACGAAGGGGGCUAGCGUUGCUCGGAAUCACUGGGCGUAAAGCGCACGUAGGCGGCUUUCUAAGUCAGAGGUGAAAUCCUGGAGCUCAACUCCAGAACUGCCUUUGAUACUGGAAAGCUUGAGUUCGGGAGAGGUGAGUGGAACUGCGAGUGUAGAGGUGAAAUUCGUAGAUAUUCGCAAGAACACCAGUGGCGAAGGCGGCUCACUGGCCCGAUACUGACGCUGAGGUGCGAAAGCGUGGGGAGCAAAC